UCGGGUAAGAACUAGGGUUAGGGUUUCUUUUUCCUUUUCUUUUUCCUCUUUUCCUUUUCUUUUUCCUCUUUUCUUUUUCUUUUUCUUUCUCUUUCACUCCCGAUGGAUCUACAAGCCUAGAUCGCUCUGAUACCAAUGUUAUAUUCCUAGGAUCAAGUAGGUGUAGAUCUAGACGGGGAAUGAACUCUUUCUGUGAAACAUGUUGGGAUUCGGGUAGAGGUUGAGAGAGACAGAGAGGAAGAGAGGAAGGGGAACGUGUACCUUCUCCCUGGGACGACAAGGAGCUCGACGGGGCAGCCAUGGCGACGGUGAGAGAGCAACGGCAUCAGCGGCGGCGGAGCUUCCCGUCGCUGUCUGCGCAAGCCCUAGAUCGGUAGGGGUAUUUCAGUGGGGUGGACGGCAACGCAACGAACCUCGUAAUGCAUGCCCCGGUCCCCCACCUCUUAAUAUAGCGCAGCGCGACAGGGGCCGCCAACCAUAUUGGGUUGGACGUCCCCGAUCAGGGCGCGUCAGAUCUAGUCCAGAUGGACCAUUGGGCCCACAGGGAUGGGAGAUCACUCUAACAAGAAUCUCCUAGAUGCGUCCUUCAAAAUAUCAGCCUUUGGUUUAACAGGGCAGUACCUCUUGCGGUUUAAUCGCUUGCACAGCUGAGCUGCUUCCUAGUUGCAGUGCCGGACCUUUUCUUUUCAGUUCUGCCACUGGGCUAAGCUAAAGCCUCUGGACUCUAUCCUUAAUUCAAAACAGAGAACCUACUAGGUUUGUAAAAAAACGAGAGGAAAACAGGGCAGGGCUCCUGCUAAAAUUCAGGCAGACGUUGUUCAAGAUUCAUCGAACAGCAAGCUCAUACACAAUGAUCCGGUCUGAUACCAUUGAAGUACUUAACUCAACCAGAACUGUAUAUAUGGAAACAUUUACACUUCAGAAAUGAAGAACAAUAGACAGGAAUAGCAUAACGCGAAAUGGAUUACACACAAAACAUUCGAUAC
RNAcentral lists this long non-coding RNA (986 nucleotides) under Brachypodium distachyon (stiff brome). RNAcentral describes it as "long non-coding RNA (BDIS_LNC005831)". Lineage: Eukaryota; Viridiplantae; Streptophyta; Magnoliopsida; Poales; Poaceae. The record is from RNAcentral.